This 556-nucleotide ribosomal RNA is filed under the name uncultured Sebacinales. RNAcentral describes it as "eukaryotic LSU rRNA". The stretch from base 235 to 388 matches the Rfam family "5.8S ribosomal RNA". Lineage: Eukaryota; Fungi; Basidiomycota; Agaricomycetes; Sebacinales. The record is from RNAcentral.
UUCCGUAGGUGAACCUGCGGAAGGAUCAUUAACGAAUUUACAAGUCGGUCUUCUGUGCUGGCGGAAACGCAUGUGCACGUUGAUCGCAAAUCCACACACCUGUGAACCUUUGACUUUGAGAUUCGCUUGCUCGACAAGCAGCCGGUCGACCUUUUGGUUGGCUCGAGUCUCGAAGUACAUUUUUAUACACUCUGAAUGUAAUGGAAUGUUCAUGUGCAUAACGCGCAAAAAUACAACUUUCAACAACGGAUCUCUUGGCUCUCGCACCGAUGAAGAACGCAGCGAAAUGCGAUAAGUAAUGUGAAUUGCAGAAUUCAGUGAAUCAUCGAAUCUUUGAACGCACCUUGCACCCUUUGGUAUUCCGAAGGGUACACCCGUUUGAGUGUCAUUGUAAUCUCACUCCUCGACUUUGUUGUCUUGGACGUGGACCUGGGCUCUGUCGUGUGUCACGACUGGCCUCAAAUGCCUGAGUGCACCCUGCUGUUGCGGCGUCUUCAGUGUGAUAAGCAUCUUCACUGGAACAAGCUCCCUUGUGGACACGCUCGCUUUGUGGGCU